AGACCCGAAACCCGGUGAUCUAGCCAUGGGCAGGUUGAAGGUUGGGUAACACUAACUGGAGGACCGAACCGACUAAUGUUGAAAAAUUAGCGGAUGACCUGUGGCUGGGGGUGAAAGGCCAAUCAAACCGGGAGAUAGCUGGUUCUCCCCGAAAGCUAUUUAGGUAGCGCCUCGUGAAUUCAUCUCCGGGGGUAGAGCACUGUUUCGGCUAGGGGGCCAUCCCGGCUUACCAACCCGAUGCAAACUGCGAAUACCGGAGAAUGUUAUCACGGGAGACACACGGCGGGUGCUAACGUCCGUCGUGAAGAGGGAAACAACCCAGACCGCCAGCUAAGGUCCCAAAGUCAUGGUUAAGUGGGAAACGAUGUGGGAAGGCCCAGACAGCCAGGAUGUUGGCUUAGAAGCAGCCAUCAUUUAAAGAAAGCGUAAUAGCUCACUGGUCGAGUCGGCCUGCGCGGAAGAUGUAACGGGGCUAAACCAUGCACCGAAGCUGCGGCAGCGACACUGUGUGUUGUUGGGUAGGGGAGCGUUCUGUAAGCCUGUGAAGGUGUGUCGUGAGGCAUGCUGGAGGUAUCAGAAGUGCGAAUGCUGACAUAAGUAACGAUAAAGCGGGUGAAAAGCCCGCUCGCCGGAAGACCAAGGGUUCCUGUCCAACGUUAAUCGGGGCAGGGUGAGUCGACCCCUAAGGCGAGGCCGAAAGGCGUAGUCGAUGGGAAACGGGUUAAUAUUCCCGUACUUGGUGUUACUGCGAAGGGGGGACGGAGAAGGCUAUGUUGGCCGGGCGACGGUUGUCCCGGUUUAAGCGUGUAGGUGUGUGUUCCAGGUAAAUCCGGUUCACUUUAACACUGAGGCGUGAUGACGAGGCACUACGGUGCUGAAGCAACAAAUGCCCUGCUUCCAGGAAAAGCCUCUAAGCAUCAGGUAACAUCAAAUCGUACCCCAAACCGACACAGGUGGUCAGGUAGAGAAUACCAAGGCGCUUGAGAGAACUCGGGUGAAGGAACUAGGCAAAAUGGUGCCGUAACUUCGGGAGAAGGCACGCUGACACGUAGGUGAAGUGAUUUACUCAUGGAGCUGAAGUCAGUCGAAGAUACCAGCUGGCUGCAACUGUUUAUUAAAAACACAGCACUGUGCAAACACGAAAGUGGACGUAUACGGUGUGACGCCUGCCCGGUGCCGGAAGGUUAAUUGAUGGGGUCAGCGCAAGCGAAGCUCCUGAUCGAAGCCCCGGUAAACGGCGGCCGUAACUAUAACGGUCCUAAGGUAGCGAAAUUCCUUGUCGGGUAAGUUCCGACCUGCACGAAUGGCGUAAUGAUGGCCAGGCUGUCUCCACCCGAGACUCAGUGAAAUUGAACUCGCUGUGAAGAUGCAGUGUACCCGCGGCAAGACGGAAAGACCCCGUGAACCUUUACUAUAGCUUGACACUGAACAUUGAGCCUUGAUGUGUAGGAUAGGUGGGAGGCUUUGAAGCGUGGACGCCAGUCUGCGUGGAGCCGACCUUGAAAUACCACCCUUUAAUGUUUGAUGUUCUAACGUGGACCCGUGAUCCGGGUUGCGGACAGUGUCUGGUGGGUAGUUUGACUGGGGCGGUCUCCUCCUAAAGAGUAACGGAGGAGCACGAAGGUUGGCUAAUCCUGGUCGGACAUCAGGAGGUUAGUGCAAUGGCAUAAGCCAGCUUGACUGCGAGCGUGACGGCGCGAGCAGGUGCGAAAGCAGGUCAUAGUGAUCCGGUGGUUCUGAAUGGAAGGGCCAUCGCUCAACGGAUAAAAGGUACUCCGGGGAUAACAGGCUGAUACCGCCCAAGAGUUCAUAUCGACGGCGGUGUUUGGCACCUCGAUGUCGGCUCAUCACAUCCUGGGGCUGAAGUAGGUCCCAAGGGUAUGGCUGUUCGCCAUUUAAAGUGGUACGCGAGCUGGGUUUAGAACGUCGUGAGACAGUUCGGUCCCUAUCUGCCGUGGGCGCUGGAGAACUGAGGGGGGCUGCUCCUAGUACGAGAGGACCGGAGUGGACGCAUCACUGGUGUUCGGGUUGUCAUGCCAAUGGCACUGCCCGGUAGCUAAAUGCGGAAGAGAUAAGUGCUGAAAGCAUCUAAGCACGAAACUUGCCCCGAG
This 2111-nucleotide ribosomal RNA is filed under the name Salmonella enterica subsp. enterica serovar Newport. RNAcentral describes it as "partial 23S ribosomal RNA". It matches the Rfam family "Bacterial large subunit ribosomal RNA", at positions 711 to 2803 of the family's 2925-position model. The record is from RNAcentral. Lineage: Bacteria; Pseudomonadati; Pseudomonadota; Gammaproteobacteria; Enterobacterales; Enterobacteriaceae.